RNAcentral lists this ribosomal RNA (1195 nucleotides) under Lariskella endosymbiont of Ixodes persulcatus. RNAcentral describes it as "bacterial SSU rRNA". It matches the Rfam family "Bacterial small subunit ribosomal RNA", at positions 318 to 1533 of the family's 1533-position model. Lineage: Bacteria; Pseudomonadati; Pseudomonadota; Alphaproteobacteria; Rickettsiales; Candidatus Midichloriaceae. The record is from RNAcentral.
ACUGAGACACGGUCCAGACUCCUACGGGAGGCAGCAGUGGGGAAUAUUGGACAAUGGGCGAAAGCCUGAUCCAGCGACGCCGCGUGAGUGAAGAAGGCCUUCGGGUUGUAAAGCUCUUUCGGUAGGGAAGAUAAUGACGGUACCUACAAAAGAAGCUCCGGCUAACUUCGUGCCAGCAGCCGCGGUAAUACGAAGGGAGCUAGCGUUACUCGGAAUUAUUGGGCGUAAAGCGUACGUAGGCGGCUUAGUAAGUUGGGAGUGAAAUCCUUGGGCUUAACCCAAGAAUUGCUUUCAAAACUACUAAGCUAGAGUAUCAGAGGGGAUGGCGGAAUUCCUAGUGUAGAGGUGAAAUUCGUAGAUAUUAGGAGGACCACCGGUGGCGAAAGCGGCCAUCUGGCUGAUUACUGACGCUGUUGUACGAAAGCGUGGGGAGCAAACAGGAUUAGAUACCCUGGUAGUCCACGCAGUAAACGAUGAGUGCUAGAUGUUGGGGUUUUUCUUCAGUGUCGCAGCUAACGCGUUAAGCACUCCGCCUGGGGAGUACGGUCGCAAGAUUAAAACUCAAAGGAAUUGACGGGGACCCGCACAAGCGGUGGAACAUGUGGUUUAAUUCGAUGCUACGCGAAAAACCUUACCAGAUCUUGACAUGAUAGUCGUACAGCUAGGAAACUAGUUGGUCGGUUCGGCCGGGCUAUCACAGGUGUUGCAUGGCUGUCGUCAGCUCGUGUCGUGAGAUGUUGGGUUAAGUCCCGCAACGAGCGCAACCCUUACCCUUAGUUGCCAUCAGGUAAAGCUGGGAACUUUAAGGGAACUGCCGGUGAGAAACCGGAGGAAGGUGGGGAUGAUGUCAAGUCAGCAUGGCCCUUAUGGUCUGGGCUACACACGUGUUACAAUGGUGGCUACAAUGAGAUGCAAAGAGGUGACUCGGAGCAAACCUAUAAAAGCCAUCCCAGUUCGGAUUGUACCCUGCAACUCGGGUGCAUGAAGUUGGAAUCGCUAGUAAUCGCAGAUCAGCACGCUGCGGUGAAUACGUUCCCGGGUCUUGUACACACUGCCCGUCACGCCAUGGGAGUUGAUUUUACCUGAAGUAGGUGGGCUAACCGCAAGGAGGCAGCUUAUCACGGUAAGAUUGAUGACUGGGGUGAAGUCGUAACAAGGUAGCCGUAGGGGAACCUGCGGCUGGAUUACCUCCUUA